This 418-nucleotide ribosomal RNA is filed under the name uncultured eukaryote. Its description in RNAcentral is "bacterial SSU rRNA". It matches the Rfam family "Eukaryotic small subunit ribosomal RNA", at positions 592 to 1017 of the family's 1831-position model. The record is from RNAcentral.
CAAUAGCGUAUAUUAAAGUUGUUGCAGUUAAAAAGCUCGUAGUUGGAUUUCUGGCAGGAGCGACCGGUCCGCCGCAAGGUGUGCACUAGGUUGUCUCCAGUCAUCUUUGUGGGAACUGCUCUGGCAUUAGGUUGUCGGGGUUAGGGAACACAUCGUUUACUGUGAAAAAAUUAGAGUGUUCAAAGCGGGCUUACGCUUGAAUAUUUCAGCAUGGAAUAACACUAUAGGACUCCUGUCCUAUUUCGUUGGUCUCGGGACGGGAGUAAUGAUUAAGAGGAACAGUUGGGGGCAUUCGUAUUUCAUUGUCAGAGGUGAAAUUCUUGGAUUUAUGAAAGACGAACUUCUGCGAAAGCAUUUGCCAAGGAUGUUUUCAUUAAUCAAGAACGAAAGUUGGGGGCUCGAAGAUGAUCAGAUACCG